This 346-nucleotide unclassified non-coding RNA is filed under the name soil metagenome. RNAcentral's name for it is "partial contains 5.8S ribosomal RNA, internal transcribed spacer 2, and large subunit ribosomal RNA". The stretch from base 1 to 121 matches the Rfam family "5.8S ribosomal RNA", at positions 35 to 154 of the family's 154-position model. The record is from RNAcentral.
GAUGAAGAACGUAGCGAAAUGCGAUAAGUAAUGCGAAUUGCAGAAUUUCCGUGAGUCAUCGAAUCUUUGAACGCACAUUGCGCCCACUGGUAUUCCGGUGGGCAUGCCUGUUCGAGCGUCAUUGCUGCCCUCAAGCACGGCUUGUGUGUUGGGCCUCCGUCCUCCUCCCGGGGGACGGGCCCGAAAGGCAGCGGCGGCACCGCGUCCGGUCCACGAGCGUAUGGGGCUUCGUCACCCGCUCUUGUAGGCCCGGCCGGCGCUUGCCGACACAUCAAUCUUUUUUCCAGGUUGACCUCGGAUCAGGUAGGGAUACCCGCUGAACUUAAGCAUAUCAAUAAGCGGAGGA